RNAcentral lists this ribosomal RNA (253 nucleotides) under uncultured bacterium. RNAcentral describes it as "partial 16S ribosomal RNA". It matches the Rfam family "Bacterial small subunit ribosomal RNA", at positions 524 to 776 of the family's 1533-position model. The record is from RNAcentral.
UACGAAGGUCCCAAGCGUUAUCCGGAUUUAUUGGGUUUAAAGGGUGCGUAGGCGGUCUAUUAAGUCAGUGGUGAAAGCCCCAAGCUCAACUUGGGAACUGCCAUUGAUACUGAUGGACUUGAGUACAUUUGAGGUGGGCGGAAUGUGUCAUGUAGCGGUGAAAUGCAUAGAUAUGACAUAGAAUACCGAUUGCGAAGGCAGCUCACUAACCGAUCAUUGACGCUGAGGCACGAAAGCGUGGGGAUCAAACAGG